UACAGAGGGUGCGAGCGUUGUCCGGAAUCACUGGGCGUAAAGGGCGCGUAGGUGGCUCGUUAAGCGUGUGGUGAAAGCCUGGGGCUCAACCCCAGGUCUGCCGUGCGGACUGGCGAGCUUGAGCAAAGUAGAGGCGGGUGGAAUUCCGGGUGUAGCGGUGGAAUGCGUAGAUAUCCGGAAGAACACCGGUGGCGAAGGCGGCCCGCUGGGCUUUUGCUGACACUGAGGCGCGACAGCGUGGGGAGCAAACAGG
This 253-nucleotide ribosomal RNA is filed under the name uncultured bacterium. RNAcentral's name for it is "partial 16S ribosomal RNA". It matches the Rfam family "Bacterial small subunit ribosomal RNA", at positions 524 to 776 of the family's 1533-position model. The record is from RNAcentral.